CCCCGAGAUGAGUUCUCCCUGACUCCUUGAGAGUCCUGAAGGAACGUUGAAGACGACGACGUUGAUAGGCCGGGUGUGUAAGCGCAGCGAUGCGUUGAGCUAACCGGUACUAAUGAACCGUGAGGCUUAACCUUACAACGCCGAAG
This 146-nucleotide ribosomal RNA is filed under the name Escherichia coli. RNAcentral describes it as "partial 23S ribosomal RNA". It matches the Rfam family "Bacterial large subunit ribosomal RNA", at positions 2797 to 2925 of the family's 2925-position model. Lineage: Bacteria; Pseudomonadati; Pseudomonadota; Gammaproteobacteria; Enterobacterales; Enterobacteriaceae. The record is from RNAcentral.